GAUGAACGCUAGCGGCAGGCUUAACACAUGCAAGUCGAGGGGCAGCGUGGAGCAGCAAUGCUCUGACGGCGACCGGCGGAAGGGUGCGUAACACGUGAGCGACUUGCCCGUCACAGGGGGAUAACCGGCGGAAACGGCGACUAAUACCCCAUACGAUGUGAUGCUGCAUGGCAUUGCAUUGAAAGAUUCAUCGGUGGCGGGUAGGCUCGCGGGACAUUAGCUAGACGGCGGGGCAACGGCCCACCGUGGCGACGAUGUCUAGGGGUUCUGAGAGGAAGGCCCCCCCACACUGGGACUGAGACACGGCCCAGACUCCUACGGGAGGCAGCAGUGAGGAAUAUUGGUCAAUGGACGAGAGUCUGAACCAGCCAAGUAGCGUGCAGGAUGACGGCCCUAUGGGUUGUAAACUGCUUUUAUAAGGGAAUAAAGUGGGAGUCGUGAGACUUUUUGCAUGUACCUUAUGAAUAAGGACCGGCUAAUUCCGUGCC
Molecule: ribosomal RNA, 488 nt
Filed under: uncultured bacterium
Lineage: Bacteria
Description: bacterial SSU rRNA
Rfam family: Bacterial small subunit ribosomal RNA
Source: RNAcentral